AUUGAACGCUGGCGGCAGGCCUAACACAUGCAAGUCGAGCGGAUGAAGGGAGCUUGCUCCUGGAUUCAGCGGCGGACGGGUGAGUAAUGCCUAGGAAUCUGCCUGGUAGUGGGGGAUAACGUCCGGAAACGGGCGCUAAUACCGCAUACGUCCUGCAGGAGAAAGUGGGGGAUCUUCGGACCUCACGCUAUCAGAUGAGCCUAGGUCGGAUUAGCUAGUUGGUGGGGUAAAGGCCUACCAAGGCGACGAUCCGUAACUGGUCUGAGAGGAUGAUCAGACACACUGGAACUGAGACACGGUCCAGACUCCUACGGGAGGCAGCAGUGGGGAAUAUUGGACAAUGGGCGAAAGCCUGAUCCAGCCAUGCCGCGUGUGUGAAGAAGGUCUUCGGAUUGUAAAGCACUUUAAGUUGGGAGGAAGGGCAGUAAGUUAAUACCUUGCUGUUUUGACGUUACCAACAGAAUAAGCACCGGCUAACUUCGUG
This 484-nucleotide ribosomal RNA is filed under the name uncultured bacterium. RNAcentral's name for it is "partial 16S ribosomal RNA". It matches the Rfam family "Bacterial small subunit ribosomal RNA", at positions 30 to 507 of the family's 1533-position model. The record is from RNAcentral.